GGGUGGUAAUGCCGGAUGCUCCGACUCCUCGCAUGGGGUGUCGGGAAAGAUUUCAUCGGUAUGGGAUGGGGUCGCGUCCUAUCAGGUAGUCGGCGGGGUAACGGCCCACCGAGCCUACGACGGGUAGCCGGCCUGAGAGGGCGACCGGCCACAUUGGGACUGAGAUACGGCCCAGACUCCUACGGGAGGCAGCAGUGGGGAAUAUUGCACAAUGGGCGCAAGCCUGAUGCAGCGACGCCGCGUGCGGGAUGACGGCCUUCGGGUUGUAAACCGCUUUUGAUCGGGAGCAAGCCUUCGGGUGAGUGUACCUUUCGAAUAAGCACCGGCUAACUACGUGCCAGCAGCCGCGGUAAUACGUAGGGUGCAAGCGUUAUCCGGAAUUAUUGGGCGUAAAGGGCUCGUAGGCGGUUCGUCGCGUCCGGUGUGAAAGUCCAUCGCUUAACGGUGGAUCUGCGCCGGGUACGGGCGGGCUGGAGUGCGGUAGGGGAGACUGGAAUUCCCGGUGUAACGGU
This 512-nucleotide ribosomal RNA is filed under the name uncultured Bifidobacterium sp. RNAcentral's name for it is "bacterial SSU rRNA". It matches the Rfam family "Bacterial small subunit ribosomal RNA", at positions 158 to 682 of the family's 1533-position model. Lineage: Bacteria; Bacillati; Actinomycetota; Actinomycetes; Bifidobacteriales; Bifidobacteriaceae. The record is from RNAcentral.